AGUGAACGCUGGCGGUAGGCCUAACGCAUGCAAGUCGAACGGCAGCACAGUAAGAGCUUGCUCUUACGGGUGGCGAGUGGCGGACGGGUGAGGAAUACAUCGGAAUCUACUUUUUCGUGGGGGAUAACGUAGGGAAACUUACGCUAAUACCGCAUACGACCUACGGGUGAAAGCAGGGGAUCUUCGGACCUUGCGCGAUUGAAUGAGCCGAUGUCGGAUUAGCUAGUUGGCGGGGUAAAGGCCCACCAAGGCGACGAUCCGUAGCUGGUCUGAGAGGAUGAUCAGCCACACUGGAACUGAGACACGGUCCAGACUCCUACGGGAGGCAGCAGUGGGGAAUAUUGGACAAUGGGCGCAAGCCUGAUCCAGCCAUACCGCGUGGGUGAAGAAGGCCUUCGGGUUGUAAAGCCCUUUUGUUGGGGAAGAAAAGCAGCAGGUUAAUACCCCGCUGUUCUGACGGUACCCAAAGAAUAAGCACCGGCUAACUUCGUG
Molecule: ribosomal RNA, 492 nt
Filed under: uncultured bacterium
Lineage: Bacteria
Description: partial 16S ribosomal RNA
Rfam family: Bacterial small subunit ribosomal RNA
Source: RNAcentral